This 534-nucleotide ribosomal RNA is filed under the name uncultured bacterium. RNAcentral describes it as "bacterial SSU rRNA". It matches the Rfam family "Bacterial small subunit ribosomal RNA", at positions 87 to 610 of the family's 1533-position model. The record is from RNAcentral.
UGGAAUGAUCGGCGGACGGGUGACUAACACGUGGGCAACCUACCUAUAAGACUGGGAUAACUCGUGGAAACAGGAGCUAAUACCGGAUAACCAGUGCGUUCGCAUGAACGCACUUUAAAAGGCGGCAUUUGCUGUCACUUAUAGAUGGGCCCGCGGCGCAUUAGCUAGUUGGUGAGGUAACGGCUCACCAAGGCACGAUGCGUAGCCGACCUGAAUUGGUGAUCGGCCACACUGGGACUGAGNCACGGCCCAACUCCUACGGGAGGCAGCAGUAGGGAAUCUUCCGCAAUGGACGAAAGUCUGACGGAGCAACGCCGCGUGAACGAUGAAGGUUUUCGGAUCGUAAAGUUCUGUUGUAGGGAAGAACACGUACCGUUCGAAUAGGGCGGUACUUGACGGUACCUAACGAGAAAGCCCCGGCUAACUACGUGCCAGCAGCCGGGUAAUACGUAGGGGGCAAGCGUUGUCCGGAAUUAUUGGGCGGUACAGCGCGCGCAUGCGGUCCUUUUACUCUGAUGGUAAACUCUUGCGGGA